GCUAAUUAUCAUCACUGUACACAGUUAAGUGCAGCAGAGAAUGGGGGUGACGAAUGGUUCGCUCCGCAUUACGCUCCUUCUCUGGGUAAAACAAGGCCGUCUUUUCUGUGAACAUAUUUAAAGCAAGAACUGCAAAAACUGUGCAAUGUUAUGGUUGAGGCUUUCUAUUUGCCAUAUGUGUUGACAGAAUGCUUAAGAGUCUCUCUCCGCAAUAAACGCGAACCCUGCCAGGCUGAAUUAUUAGGGCCAGCGCAAUUCAACGACUGCACCACCACCGAACCGCUGGGGUUGGAAGCCUGCGUCGCAUCGGAGCGUACCCAUGUUUCUUCUAACAAAGGCACGAUCUUGAGGCCAUUUCGCGGGCCCUUUUCCCACUCCCAGCGCCAGCUUUGUCUCCCCGCCGGUAUGAGGCUGAGACUUGGAGGAGGCUGAGCUGCGCCGCUGGGGAACAAGCUCGAAGGGCGGGCGUGGGAAGCUGCACCGCGCUGCCGCUGUGGUUUCCUGCGACCUGACCGUGCCAUUAGAGGAAGUUGGAGUGCUGCAGCUGCAAGAGAUACCUGCUGCCUUCAAAUCAGGGCUGGACUCCAACAACCCCUGUGCACCGAUUACUGU
RNAcentral lists this long non-coding RNA (612 nucleotides) under Homo sapiens (human). RNAcentral's name for it is "HSALNT0088781". Lineage: Eukaryota; Metazoa; Chordata; Mammalia; Primates; Hominidae. The record is from RNAcentral.